This 253-nucleotide ribosomal RNA is filed under the name uncultured bacterium. RNAcentral's name for it is "partial 16S ribosomal RNA". It matches the Rfam family "Bacterial small subunit ribosomal RNA", at positions 524 to 776 of the family's 1533-position model. The record is from RNAcentral.
UACGAAGGGUGCGAGCGUUAUUCGGAAUUACUGGGCGUAAAGAGUACGUAGGCGGUUUAUUAAGUUUGUUGUUAAAGGCUCUAGCCUAACUGGAGAAUCGCAAUGAAAACUGAUGAGCUAGAGGGUGAGAGAGAGAAGUGGAAUUCCCGGAGUAGCGGUAAAAUGCGUGGAUCUCGGGAGGAACACCGAUGGCGAAGGCAGCUUCUUGGUUCAUUCCUGACGUUGAGGUACGAAAGCGUGGGGAGCAAACAGG